Molecule: non-coding RNA, 143 nt
Filed under: Anopheles minimus
Lineage: Eukaryota; Metazoa; Arthropoda; Insecta; Diptera; Culicidae
Description: eukaryotic large subunit ribosomal RNA
Rfam family: Eukaryotic large subunit ribosomal RNA
Source: RNAcentral
GAUAACUGGCUUGUGGCCGCCAAGCGUUCAUAGCGACGUGGCUUUUUGAUCCUUCGAUGUUGGCUCUUCCUAUUUGUUACGCUGCGUACGGGUUUGCUGGCCCCGCGAAGGUAGGGACCGUUGCGAUGCAAAGCCGUGCGGGU